Molecule: small RNA, 609 nt
Filed under: Pongo abelii (Sumatran orangutan)
Lineage: Eukaryota; Metazoa; Chordata; Mammalia; Primates; Hominidae
Description: retained intron
Source: RNAcentral
AGACAUUUUUGGCGCCGGCCCCAGCGUGAGCGGGGACGGCGGCCGGGAGGGCGAGGCCCGGGUUCCCGUUCCCCGCGAAGCCAUGCGGUACAACGAGAAGGAGCUGCAGGCGCUGUCCCGGCAGCCGGCCGAGAUGGCGGCCGAGCUGGGCAUGAGGGGCCCCAAAAAGGGCAGCGUGCUGAAGCGGCGUCUGGUGAAGCUGGUGGUGAAUUUUCUCUUCUACUUUCGGACAGACGAGGCCGAGCCCGUCGGAGCCCUGCUGCUGGAGCGCUGCAGAGUCAUCCGGGAAGAACCCGGCACCUUCUCCAUCAGUGAGUGGGGCCAGGGAGGCCAGCGGCGCCUCCCGCAGCUCGGGGCACCCGCAGCGCCGCACUGUCCUCUCCCCAGGCGCCCAAGGUCUCCUCUGUGUCCCCAGCCUGGCGCCACCCUCCCCAGACACAAGAGUGCAUUGUCUACGGGCAGCUCAAGGUCAAGUUCUCCUGGCGGGCACCACCCUUCUCACCUGCCGAGUCCACUUAAGCUUGGGUCCCUCCCAGACUCUGCUCUUGCUUCCCUGUGGGCCAGGCUGUACUCACAGGGCAGAUGGGCCAGCCCCACCCAAAGCGUUUC